GUCUAAUCCAGUCUGACUGGUGUCCUUAAAAGGUGCACGGGGGAAGGACUAUGUGAAGACACAGUGAGAAGAUGGUCAUCUGCAACCCCAGGAAAGAGGCCUCAGAGGAAAUCAACCCUGCCAACACCUUGAUCUUGGACUUCUGCCCUCCAAAAGUGUGAAGAAAGCAACCUGGAGUUGAAGGUCUUGCAGUUCAGAAGUGGAGAAGGAUCUCUUUAUAUUCUGAGCAUUUCCUGGAGGGCAGAAACUGACCUCGUGCUCAUCUUUAGAUUCUGAGGGCUCAGCAAAUAGUGAAUUUUUGGUAAAUGUGUUUUGGACUUAGAACUAAAUUUUAGAUAAAUCAACUGCUCAGAGUAAAAGGCAGCCACUUGGGGAAGUGAUUAAAUGCACGUUUAAAACUCAGCCUCUGGGACAGCCCGGAGCACUGGGCUGCUCUGAGAGGUGUCCUCUGCUCAGCCAAGGUAAGGACAGGGUGGCCCUGGCGACAAGGGGAGCAAAACUGGAAAUGGGACUUGACGGAAAGGAGAGUAGGGGACCAUUGACUGAAACUAGAAAAUGAAGAGGUGGAGAUGAUUUUGUGCAGAAUCCAGUGGAGGGUUUGAGAGGCCAGAAGGCUGUGUGCAUGGAGAUGUUCAGCCAGCAGCCUGGAGCUGUGGAAGGGAGCCAUCAGGACUCUGGCUGGGGAAGGAGAGCCUGAGGACUCAGCCUGGCUCCUCCUUCUGCCUCACUCCCCCUCUUCACCAAUUGGCAGGUUUGCUAAUUCUACCUUUUAUGUAUUCUUAAAUCUUUUCCUUCCUGCCUACUACUUGCAACCAUAUGUCCUCAUAAUCUCUUCCUUAGAUGACUGCCUUCUCACAGGUCUCCCCUGCCAGCCUCUGCUCCUCUUAGAUUCACCCUUCACACCAUCACCAGUCACUUGCCUGAAAUGAAAUUCUCAGGAUCUCCUUUGCCUUCUCAAAGCCUGUCCCAUGCUGGAAUCCCUCUCAUUCUUCAAGACUCAGCACAGGCAUCCUGUCCUCCAGAAGGUGGUCCCUGAAGUUCC
This 1042-nucleotide long non-coding RNA is filed under the name Homo sapiens (human). RNAcentral's name for it is "HSALNT0018640". The record is from RNAcentral. Lineage: Eukaryota; Metazoa; Chordata; Mammalia; Primates; Hominidae.